CGUAGGGUGCAAGCGUUAAUCGGAAUUACUGGGCGUAAAGCGUGCGCAGGCGGUUUCAAGACAGAUGUGAAAUCCCCGGGCUUAACCUGGGAAUGGCAUUUGUGACUGGAAGGCUAGAGUGUGUCAGAGGGGGUAGAAUUCCACGUGUAGCAGUGAAAUGCGUAGAGAUGUGGAGGAAUACCGAUGGCGAAGGCAGCCCCCUGGGAUAACACUGACGCUCAUGCACGAAAGCGUGGGAGCAAACAGGAUU
Molecule: ribosomal RNA, 250 nt
Filed under: uncultured bacterium
Lineage: Bacteria
Description: partial 16S ribosomal RNA
Rfam family: Bacterial small subunit ribosomal RNA
Source: RNAcentral